UACAGAGGGUGCAAGCGUUGUCCGGAAUUACUGGGCGUAAAGAGCGCGUAGGCGGCGCGGUACGACCGCUGUGAAAGCCCCCAGCUCAACUGGGGAGGGUCAGCGGUAACGGCCGUGCUAUGAGUGCAGGAGAGGGAAGUGGAACUCCGGGAGUAGCGGUGAAAUGCGUAGAGACCCGGAGGAACACCAGUGGCGAAGGCGGCUUCCUGGUCUGCGACUGACGCUGUGGCGCGAAAGCUAGGGGAGCAAACGGG
RNAcentral lists this ribosomal RNA (254 nucleotides) under uncultured bacterium. Its description in RNAcentral is "partial 16S ribosomal RNA". It matches the Rfam family "Bacterial small subunit ribosomal RNA", at positions 524 to 776 of the family's 1533-position model. The record is from RNAcentral.